CGCCCCCGCCAUAGGCAAAGAGAUACCUUGUUGUUGGUGCUGUUGUUCUUAGUCAGGGGCAGAACAGCUGACAGUCCUUUGUUCAUUGUGGCUUGAUGCCUGGCUUGGUGCCUAAAGCAGUUUUAUGCCUAGGACUCAUAA
This is a small nucleolar RNA of Rattus rattus (black rat), 141 nucleotides long. RefSeq annotates it as small nucleolar RNA SNORA48. The transcript has a single exon. The record is from RefSeq and is a predicted model, not a curated record. Lineage: Eukaryota; Metazoa; Chordata; Mammalia; Rodentia; Muridae.